Long non-coding RNA from Mizuhopecten yessoensis (Yesso scallop), 511 nucleotides. RefSeq lists it as uncharacterized. NCBI's taxonomy places the organism in Eukaryota, Metazoa, Mollusca, Bivalvia, Pectinida, Pectinidae. The transcript is spliced from 2 exons. The record is from RefSeq and is a predicted model, not a curated record.
GGGUAUUACAAUGUACAGAUGUACACUGUGUAAGACCUCCCAUGGGUAUUACAAUGUACAGAGGUUCACUGUGAAAGACCUCCCAUGGGUAUUACAAUGUACAGAGGUACACUGUGUAAUACCUCCCAUGGGUAUUACAAUGUACAGAGGUACACUGUACGUGUAAGACCCAAAUCAUUUUGGAACAAAAUACAUUGUAUAUAUCUACUGCAAAAUGUGCAGUAAAUAUUCAUUGCACGUUUUCACCAAAACACUAAUCCAUGGGAAAAUUGCAAACAGACUGGUGUGGUAUACACUAAAAGUGCUGUGAAUCUGUGACCAAUGGUAAGUAAAACGGUUAUCAUUGGUGGAGUAUAGCCCACCUAACCACUGCUGGUCCUAGACUGUGUGACCUCAGUGGAGUAUAGCCUACCUAACCACUGUUGGUCCUAGACUGUGUGACCUCAGUGGAGUAUAGCCCACCUAACCACUGCUGGUCCUAGACUGUGUGAUCUCAGUGAAGUAUAGCCCA